UGUUAAAAAGCUCGUAGUUGGAUCAAGAGUCGGACAGUGCACGGUGGCCCUGUUUGUCAUAGUGGUUCCGAUCACUGUGACGGCAGCGGAUCAACCCCGUGCGCCAAACUGUCCGCUCUAACAGACCGAAACGGUUCCCUGUGAGUAGGCUCCUUAAUUGGGGCUGAAAGCGCUUACGCAUCAACCAUAUGCAUACGGGACGUCGGUCAAUGUUACUGUGAUCAAACCAGCGUGUCCAAAACAGGCUUUCGCCUGAAUGUUCGAGCAUGGAAUAACAAGGGAUCGAUUCUCUCGGUUCUUUUUGUUGGUUUUUAACCCGAGAAGGAGUAAUUCAGUCCACGGUGUCUGAGUUGGGUUUCCCUUCACCUCGGUGGAGGCCCCAAUUAGGCCGUGUACUUACGGGAUAAAUAGGGACUGACGGGGUCGUACGUACUUCCACGUCAGAGGUGAAAUUCUUAGAUCGUGGGAAGACGAACUUCUGCGAAAGCAUUCGACAAGAAUGUCUUCAUUAAUCAAGAACGAGAGUGUGGGGAUCGAAGAUGAUCAGAUACCGUCGUAGUCCACUACUGUAAACAAUGCCGUCUCAGGAUUGAGAAGUGAACAGAAUGACUUUCACAGCACUACCCCCUGAAACGAGA
RNAcentral lists this ribosomal RNA (638 nucleotides) under uncultured marine eukaryote. RNAcentral describes it as "SSU rRNA". It matches the Rfam family "Eukaryotic small subunit ribosomal RNA", at positions 618 to 1102 of the family's 1831-position model. The record is from RNAcentral.